UGGACGAAAGUCUGACCGAGCAACGCCGCGUGAGUGAAGAAGGUUUUCGGAUCGUAAAGCUCUGUUGUAAGUCAAGAACGUGUGUGAGAGUGGAAAGUUCACACAGUGACGGUAGCUUACCAGAAAGGGACGGCUAACUACGUGCCAGCAGCCGCGGUAAUACGUAGGUCCCGAGCGUUGUCCGGAUUUAUUGGGCGUAAAGGGAGCGCAGGCGGUCAGGAAAGUCUGGAGUAAAAGGCUAUGGCUCAACCAUAGUGUGCUCUGGAAACUGUCUGACUUGAGUGCAGAAGGGGAGAGUGGAAUUCCAUGUGUAGCAGUGAAAUGCGUAGAUAUAUGGAGGAACACCAGUGGCGAAAGCGGCUCUCUGGUCUGUCACUGACGCUGAGGCUCGAAAGCGUGGGUAGCGAACAGGAUUAGAUACCCUGGUAGUCCACGCCGUAAACGAUGAGUGCUAUGUGUUAGGCCCUUUCCGGGGCUUAGUGCCGGAGCUAACGCAAUAAGCACUCCGCCUGGGGAGUACGACCGCAAGGUUGAAACUCAAAGGAAUUGACGGGGGCCCGCACAAGCGGUGGAGCAUGUGGUUUAAUUCGAAGCAACGCGAAGAACCUUACCAGGUCUUGA
RNAcentral lists this ribosomal RNA (621 nucleotides) under Streptococcus mutans. RNAcentral's name for it is "bacterial SSU rRNA". It matches the Rfam family "Bacterial small subunit ribosomal RNA", at positions 372 to 984 of the family's 1533-position model. Lineage: Bacteria; Bacillati; Bacillota; Bacilli; Lactobacillales; Streptococcaceae. The record is from RNAcentral.